GACGAACGCUGGCGGCGUGCUUAACACAUGCAAGUCGAACGGAAAGGCCCUGCUUUUGUGGGGUGCUCGAGUGGCGAACGGGUGAGUAACACGUGAGUAACCUGCCCUUGACUUUGGGAUAACUUCAGGAAACUGGGGCUAAUACCGGAUAGGAGCUCCUGCUGCAUGGUGGGGGUUGGAAAGUUUCGGCGGUUGGGGAUGGACUCGCGGCUUAUCAGCUUGUUGGUGGGGUAGUGGCUUACCAAGGCUUUGACGGGUAGCCGGCCUGAGAGGGUGACCGGCCACAUUGGGACUGAGAUACGGCCCAGACUCCUACGGGAGGCAGCAGUGGAGAAUAUUGCACUAUGGGCGGAAGCCUGAUGCAGCAACGCCGCGUGCGGUAUGACGGCCUUCGGGUUGUAAACCGCUUUCGCCUUUGACGAAGCGUGAGUGACGGUAAUGGGUAAAGAAGCACCGGCUAACUACGUG
RNAcentral lists this ribosomal RNA (468 nucleotides) under uncultured bacterium. RNAcentral's name for it is "partial 16S ribosomal RNA". It matches the Rfam family "Bacterial small subunit ribosomal RNA", at positions 28 to 507 of the family's 1533-position model. The record is from RNAcentral.